CAUUACUGGGUGUAAUCAUUUUUUCGGUAUAAAUCUCUUCCACCUGGAAGAACCGGAAGCCACUGGCUUCCAAUUUUUGCAACCCGAAAGGGUAC
Molecule: unclassified non-coding RNA, 95 nt
Filed under: Rhabdomonas costata
Lineage: Eukaryota; Euglenozoa; Anisonemea; Natomonadida; Astasiidae
Description: SL-RNA
Source: RNAcentral